UGACAAGUACUAAAUAGUGACGUUGUGA
Molecule: non-coding RNA, 28 nt
Filed under: Bombyx mori (domestic silkworm)
Lineage: Eukaryota; Metazoa; Arthropoda; Insecta; Lepidoptera; Bombycidae
Source: RNAcentral